AUACCCACCAUAUCCUCGUCGUCGACCAAGUCUUGGUGGUUUACGAAAGUGACAGUGUGGUACCAGUGGGCACAUCGAAUAGCCGCCGUUGGUGCCUCAGUGCCUCCGCUCACCUCCAACAGUGAUCGCGACCGCCGUUCGAUCAUCGGUUCGACGAGUCAUUGUCACCUACGACAUACCUUUAAUUUCGAGCCACGUUCGUUCCAGGCCAAUCAAAACACCGGAUGGUGGAUCGCGCGUUGCGAUGUGCUGCAGGUUUACAAUCGAAUAACAAUUACAACGCGUAGGGAAAAAGCCCGGAGAAAAGUUUUAUUCCAAGAAUACAUAACAUUUAUACCGCAGUGCAGGGAUUUAAUCGUAACACGGUUUACACCAUGGAUUGGAGGGUACGAUCAGUCGCCCAACUUUUGAUGCUGGGGUGUUUAACAGCAUUGCUAGACUGCGGUAUAGCGGAACAGCGAGUUGUAUGUUACUACACAAAUUGGUCAGUGUAUAGACCAGGGACAGCGAAGUUUUCGCCACAAAACAUCAACCCAUACCUUUGCACGCAUCUUAUAUACGCCUUUGGCGGUUUCACUAAGGACAAUGCACUGAAACCGUUCGACAAAUAUCAAGACAUCGAGAAAGGUGGAUAUGCAAAGUUCAACGGUCUGAAAACGUACAAUAAAAAUUUAAAAACGAUGCUGGCUGUCGGGGGAUGGAACGAGGGUUCAAGCAGGUUUUCGCCGUUGGUUGCCGACCCUGACAGACGGAAGGAAUUCGUCAGAAACACAGUAAAAUUUUUGAGACAAAAUCAUUUCGAUGGUUUGGAUCUUGAUUGGGAAUACCCGGCGUUUAGGGAUGGUGGAAAGCCUCGUGACAGAGAUAAUUACGCCUCACUGGUUCAGGAACUUCGCGAAGAAUAUGAACGCGAAUCAUUGAAAACAGGACGCCCGCGACUACUACUUUCAAUGGCUGUUCCAGCUGGUAUAGAAUACAUUAACAAGGGAUACGACAUUCCCAAACUCAACAAAUACUUGGAUUUCAUUAAUCUCCUUUCAUACGACUAUCACUCAUCCUACGAACCUGCCGUGAACCAUCAUUCUCCUCUGUAUCCACUGGAAGAAGAUAACGAAUACAAUUUCGACACCGAACUGACAGUCGACUACACGAUCAAGCAUCUAUUGGACGUCGGAGCCUCUCCAGACAAAAUUGUCGUCGGCAUUCCAACGUAUGGACGUUCUUUCACGUUGUUUAAUGAAGAAGCAACGGAGCUAGGUUCACCAUCCGAUGGUCCAGGCGAAGAGGGUGACGCUACGAGGGAAAAAGGAUAUUUAGCUUAUUACGAGAUUUGUGAGAGCUUGAUAGACUCGGACGAAUGGGAGGUGGUAUCCCCGAAUUCAAAUGCGAUGGGUCCGUACGCCUACAAAGGCAACCAAUGGGUAGGAUAUGACGACGAGGCAAUUGUGAGACUCAAGGCACAAUAUGUUACCGAAAAUGGAUUGGGCGGAAUCAUGUUCUGGUCAAUUGAUAAUGACGACUUCCGCGGAAAGUGUCAUAAUCGUCCGUACCCGUUGAUCGAAGCAGCCAAGGAAGCAAUGUUGGCUGGAAGCGAAAAAACAAGCGUUCGAGAAAAGUCGACUAGACCAACCAAGACACGAAUAGAGAGCAAUUUUAUUGGUAGAAAACUUGGGGCAGGUAGACGCAGAACUACAGAGGCUCCUGCGGGCACGCGUCGAAACAAUUUGCGAAAGCGAAUAAACUCGCUGAGGUCUAACAGCCGGUCGAACGCUCGAACAAAUUUGGAGAAUGAAGAAACUAAGUCGCAGGUGAACGGGCGAAACAGGGGGCAAUACUCUGACUCGGAAGAUGAGGAAGACAUUUCGAACAUCAGAAGAAUAGACGCAAAUGUUGUCAGAAGUGCAGAAUUCAGCGAAGAUCAAGAUACAGAAAAUUCUCAAUCGCAAAACAGAAAUCGUCUACGUGGUGCACAGAGGCGAAAAAGCCCCGAAAACACGAGGCGCAGAACUACUACAGCUUCUAGCGUUUCGGAAGAAGUCGAAGAACAAGCCGGAGUUAACAAAUUAACAACUCCUGAGCCACCGACCACACCAGACCCCGGAACAGAUUUCAAAUGCGAGGAUGAAGGUUUCUUCUCUCAUCCACGAGACUGCAAAAAAUAUUUCUGGUGCCUUGACGCUGGACCUGGUGGAUUGGGAAUUGUCGCUCAUCACUUUACCUGCCCAGCAGGCUUGGUAUUCAAUAAAGCAGCUGACUCGUGUGAUUACCCUCGCAACGUUGUGUGCCCCAAGGCAAAAACAGCGGGGGGUCCGACAACACGCGCUCCUAUUAUUGCUGCCACGAGUCGUACAACAAUAAUAUCCAGUACCACUCGUCGUUCAGCAACAAGUAGUACAACUACAGAACCCAGUGAAUACAACGAAGAGUAUGAAUAUUACGAUGAUGAUGAACUUGAGGAAGAAAACGUUCCCGUAAGCACGACGACAGCCAGGGCUCUGCAGUACCAGACCAUAAGUCGAAAUAGAGCAACGACGACUACAACUACGACCACUGCGAAUCCACCUACAUCCACGCAAAUCCCAAAAACAACGACCUCCAAAACGUAUCAGUCAUUACCUUCAAGAGGUAGCAACGUCGCACCAGCGACAUCGAUAGACGAGGCUGAAGAAGAUCCGCAAGUUCUUAAAGAACUGAUUGAUUUAAUCAAAAAAGCAGGCGGUCUCGAAGAGUUGGAGAAGCAGCUUCACCUGCAAGGUAAAGGUAGCGAGAGUAAUGUACGAACAGGCUCUGCGACGAACAAAACCAGUUCUACACCAACGACAAUUAGUAGAAGCUUAUACGAACGAGUGUUAAACCGCCAAGCAGCCAACAGUGGAAAUACACUGUUCAGAAGAACUACAGCGUCGCCAAUCACUGUCACGAAGAAAAUAACCGAGACGUUAGACUCACAACCCUCUGUCAUCCAGCGAUCAAAACCAAGUUUCCGAAACGGCCCUGGGCAAGCACAAUUCGAAGGUCUCGAUGAUGUUCCAGAGGUAAAAAGUCUCAGAAGAGAAAGACCUCAAUAUGUUACUAUUAAUCGCCAACGACCUUCUACUGAGGCGCCACUUGAAGAUAGCGAGGAGCUUGACGAAAAUAACGAAGAUGACUUAUCUUCGGAAGAAAACUUAUCAAAUAAUCCACCAGAAACCACAACAGCUGUUCCAAGAGGAACUCCUGGUUAUGUUAAUAUACGCCGUAACCGAAUUACGACCGCUAGGUCCAAUGUACCCCAAGAAGAGAGUGAAGAAGACGUUAAUGUUAAUCGCCGCCGACCCGUAGCAUCAAUAGACUCCGCACUCGCUGUGAGUGAUGAUGCUGAUGUUGAUGAUGAUGACUCUAAAGAAUUAGAAAUUACGACUGAAGCAGUUUUAACACGUCGACGAACUCAAUUUCCUAUUCAGGAAGAACAAACCAGCACGUCUAGGUACAUUACCAUUCAUCGUGUAAGAAGUACUACGCAUGCACCCGAAGAAGCAGCUUCGGAAGAAGAAGCUCAAAUCGUUGAUAUUACUACUAAAGCAACUCCUUCUUCUACAGAAAAUAUUUUACCAACAACACCUGACGUUGAGAUCGAAGAUGAGAUUGAUGAUAAAAUAUCUGUACCUGAGACAAAUAUAGAAAACGAAGCAGCGGUCGAGGAAUCAAUUGUCCGUACCGAAUCUAGCCCACCAAUAUCAACAACGCAGUCUCAGAGUUUUAUUGUCACAGAUCUUCCUGUGCAAAAUGUCGAUCCUUUAACUACAAUAGCCCCGUUACCUAUAUCAGUAAAAUCGAUUGAGAUUGGGGAAUAUUCUACAACUGCAGUACCAUCGUCUACAGUUGUUUCUAGUACCACAAUACAAGAAUCUAGUUUUGACGAACCGACUACAAAAGGAUCGGCGGCAGUAGCACAGCCAAGACCAUUCGGUUUCCAGAGAAGAGCUAGGCCAACGACUACCGUUACAUCGCUAACGCCAAGCCCAGACACAACGACCUCUUCUUCUGUUAGUUCUGAUACAGGACGAGUAAAGGUACCGUCGGAAACAGUCAGAUUACCUACCCUGAAGGAGCUCAUUGGUUACAAAACCACUGUUGCAUACGAUUACACAACCACAACACCGAUUACACUUUCAAUCCAAAAUUCACUUGAUGACAACGUUUUAAAUCACAAUGAGCACACUAAUUAUGUCACCGAGACAAUAACACCGACUUUUGGGAGAGACAUUAUACCGGCAGAUGUACAAAGUACAAAAGAUACAGGAAUCGAAGAAGUUAAGGUCGUGCAGGAAGAUCAAGAUCAAGAUCAAUUGAACGACUAUUCGGCAUGGAAAAUUGCUGAGCAUAACAAGUACAAAAAUAGCAUAGAAAAUGAUAAUAGUAUCAUACAUUAUGGAAAGUUAAAAACAUCAACUGAAUCACCUCUACGAGUUACUCUUCCAAUAAAAAUUUUAACGCAAGACGAAGUAACACCCAAGAGACGUAAAAUAAAAUUAGUCAAUAUACCUGUUCGCAUAUUAGAAUCUGAUAGACCUGUAACAGAUCUAAUACUAGAGGUACCAGAAUAUAAAUUGAAGAGUGUGUUAAGGUCUCUGUUACGAGUAGAAAUAAUAAAUCAAGAGAACGUGACAAACGAUAAUAGCAAAGAAUCGAAAACUUUUAAUAUACAUGACCAAAGAAUUACGUAUAGCAAUGAUGACCAAAAUCGUGGUCCCCAAGAUGCGAAUACAGAGCAUAAGGCAGAUGAAUCAUUUAAUGAAAAUUCAAAUACAAAUCCUAAAGUAACCGGAGAUUCAUACUCUUCGACCACGCCUAGUAUUACUACAGUACGAGGCAACCGAUCACAGCCCCCGUAUCGAAGUUCCCGCAAUCGAGGAUUCUAUGUGACAAAAAGCAUAGAGAGCAGUACUUUGCUUCAGAACACAACUCCACCAAUUCCUCGGCAAUCAACAGAAUCGAAUAGUGAAAAUCCCCAACUGUACAGCACAGUACCUGAACUGGAAUUAUCUACUUUUACCGAAAAUCCAUCAACGAUUGCAAUGGAUACUACGAACAUAAGCGGCGAGUUGUACACAAUGCAAGAUGAAUCAGCGUCCGAAGAAACUUGGCAUUCGACAAUAAACACUAGCCUAAAAAAUCUCAACGAUAUUCUGACUAGUAAUAAAGAUGUUAAUAGAACGUCAUUGAAAUCUGAUGAGAUAACAGCCAUACCUGACACUACUACUGCAGAAUACACGUCAACUAGGCUAACUGAGCCGAGUACCGUAAAAUCAACACCGGAAUCCGUAGCUUCCACCGAAUUCAACGAUCAGAUUUAUACAUCUGAAUCUAUAGCUGAAUUUGAAUCAUACUCUACUGAAGAUUUCAGCAGUAUAACAUCUGAAGAAACUUCAAAACCUGAGUCAAGUUUAGACCUGCGUACCACUGUAUCUGGGUUAGAAAGUGAGGAAGAAGAGUAUUAUGAUGUGACGAAUGAGCCUACAUCCACCCCUUAUUUAGCCACAGCAAAAUACAAUGCAGAUUCUGUUGCAAAAAGUCUAAGAGAAAGUUCCGAAGUGAAGAAGUCGAGCACAGCCCUGAACUAUUAUACCGAGAUUGGCAGUACGACUACAGAGUUUCAAAAGACGACUGCCUCUGAAUAUGAAGUACAGAGUGAUGAUUUUCCGAGCAAUGAUCAGAGCAAAGAAACUGUCACAGCAGAAACAACUAAGAGCUUUGAUAACACAUUAACCACCAGUGGAUUAGACUCUGAUUUUAAAUCAAACUUAUUAGUCAAUGGCGAAACACAUGAUAUUGAUUUGGGUUUCAAAACUGAAAGAACUGCAACGACGAGUAUAAUAAUAGGUUCUUCUUUGAAACCUGAGAUAAAAACUACUAAAGCUUCAAUAGAUGAUCAACGAACGAGCCCACUGGAUUUUAUAACAGAAAACAUUAUUGAAAGUAGUUCAUCUGGUGCAAUGACCAGUUUUUCCUUAAACCCUGAAACAGGAACUAACACAGCUUCAAUUUACAAACCAGGAACUACUCUAGUGGAUUUCGUAACAGAAAAUAUUAUUGAAAACAGUUCAACCAAUGUACUGGAUUUCCUAACAGAAGGCAUUAUUGAAAAUAGUUCAAAUAGUGUAACGAUAAGUUCUUCUUCGAACCCUGAAAUAGGAACUAACACAGCUUCAAUCGAUGAUCGAAGAACUAGCCUACUAGAUUUUGCAACAGAAAGCAUUACUGAAAAUGAUUCAACUAGUGCAACGACAAGUUCUUCCAUGAUCCCUGAAAUGGGAACCAACACAGCUUCAAUUGAUGAUCGAAGAACUAGCCCACUGGAUUUUGCAACCGCAAGCAUUACUGAAAAUGGUUCAACCAGUGCAACCGAAAGUUCUUUUUUGAACCCUGAAAUACGAGCUAACACAGCUUCAAUUGAUGAUCGAAGAACCAGCCCACUGGAUUUUGUAACAGAAAGCAUUAUUGAAAAUGAUUCAACCAGUGCAACGACAAGUUUUUCUUUAAACCCUGAAAUAGAAACUAAAACAGUUCCAAUUGAUGAUCGGAGAACUAACCCAGUGGAUUUUGUAACAGAAAGGAUUAUUGAAAACGAUUCAACCGGUGUAACGACAAGUUCUUCCUUGAACUCUGAAAUAGGAACUAAUACAGCAUCAACCCUUAAUCGAGAAGUUACACAAUUGGAUUACUCAACAGAAAAUAUCGUUUCGACUAUUUCAGUGACAUCUGAUUCGGUUAUAAGUACAGUUUCUCUUGGAACAAAUGCAGUUGAAGAAGCAACAGAUUCCUUCGUUAUCCCAGACACAAAAUUGACUGAAAUGGAAAUGGGAAGUACAGUAUCGAGUAACAAAGCAUCAACUACUGAGUCAAACAAUAUAGCAACAGUCACAAGUUCUGUAGGCGAAAUAUCUGGAAUUUCAGAAACACAUUCGACAUAUCCUUCAAAGAUUGAUCAGCAAGUUGUAACCCAAAUUACUCCAUUUACAUUUAGUUCGGGAUCUACAUUUUCACCUUCAAAUAAUGCUCACAAAGACUUUAAUACUGUUUCGACUAUUGUGGAAAAAGACACAGCGCUAGAUACAGCUGUAACGCAGCAAAUUUUAGAGGGUUUAACAGAGGCGCCAAAACGUUCUGUACUGACAGAAUCUACAAGUUCAGAACUUAUAAGUGACACCUUCUAUAGAUCACCUUCAGCUAUUCCAGGAAAGAAAUCAGUGCGCCGGCGAAUAAUUAAAAAACGAAUAAACGGAAUUCGUCGACCAUACGUACAAACCGUUCAAGAUACAAGCAGAUUGAAUGGAAUCGAUAAACCAAGGAAAAGAUUUGUUCGCCGACGUAUAAUAAAUCGUACUACAGGAAAAAUAGUGAAUGAAACGAUGAAAGGAAAUUCGAAAGUGUUGGACAGUCCAUCGAUAAGGAGUAUUGCAAACCCUGAACUCGUUCCCAAGAUAAACGAAUCGCCAGAGCCUCGUAAUGGUACUGUGAGAAAUAAAAUAGUCAGACAUCGUGUAAUUUACAGACGACGACCAGCAGUUAAUCAAACAAAUAGCAGUUCCAUAGAUGCCAAAAUAUCUAGUCAAAAUAACAGUGCCAGUAAUGAUGUGCAAAGUUCUAGUGUCUCGAGCACUAAUUCAAAUCAACGAAGACGAGUAGUGGUAGAAAGAUCUAGGUAUAGGGGUAAAGGUAGCGGUAGAGGUAGAGGACAAACGGAAUCAUCAACAGUAACUUCAAGGCUAAGUUUGGAAAGGCAAUUGAAUUCCACGGAAACCACAGUACAAAACGACAAGUUAUACAAACGCAAGACUAAUGAACAAGAUUACGCAGACGUUACGAUUGAUAAUUUGAGCAGUGGUUCUGAGAGCUACGGCAAGGUUUCUGUUUAUCAAAGAGAAGAACUUCCUCAAAUCGAAAAAAUUUCUGAGGCGGCACUCGAGCUUGAACCCGUAUCGAAGUCAGAAGAUGUUCAAGCUGACGGCGAGAUCAAUCUCUUCAAGACUCGUACGGGUACUUCGAGACUUCCAGGAACUCUGGUUCGAUCAGCGAGACCCAGAACAUCGACGUCCGCUCCUGAAAGUGAUAUAGCUGCAACUGUAUCAACUCUGAGAAAACUUUCCAAUAACAUUGAAGUACGUAGAAGAGGGCGUUUGGGUCAGAGUACAACGAGUGGCUCAACCAGUAAUGCUGAAGUGCAGAGCCAGCCAGCUGCGGGUGACGAUGGAGCCUUGAAAUUCGAGUCUGACAAGGAUGUUUUGGAAAGUCUUGACCAAGCCAGCCAUGCGCAAGAAGUGGAGGUGACCGUAGCUGCCAGAGAUCCCUCAUCGCCAGCUCCGCCAACAGUGACAGCAUAACAACGUGCCUACUUCAUUUGUCAACUAAUUGAUUCAUGUGGCUCUCGUUAUCUGUUCACGUGUCUGUCUGUCUGUCUGACUUCAACUGACCUGCGGCUGUCGCGUGUUCAACGUUAUGAACGCCGAUUAUACCUACUCUGUGUGUAUACCUCAACUCUUCAAACUACACUUGACCACCACUUAUAAUUUUAUUCCACCACCUACUCUACCACAUGACGAUCCUGACUUGCUAUUUCUAUCUGUGUCGUCCACGGUUCAGAACUUCUCUAAGGCGUAGGAUAAUUACAACCGAAGCUCCUCAAGUAACAGUAUCCUCUACAGUCCCAACAACACCAAUCAUCAGACAAAGAACGAGGCCAGCUAGGCCUUUCGAGAAAGUUAC
This 8745-nucleotide unclassified non-coding RNA is filed under the name Neodiprion lecontei (redheaded pine sawfly). RNAcentral's name for it is "mucin-4, transcript variant X1". The record is from RNAcentral. Lineage: Eukaryota; Metazoa; Arthropoda; Insecta; Hymenoptera; Diprionidae.